UACGAAGGGGGCGGGCGUUGUUCGGAAUUACUGGGCGUAAAGCGUGCGUAGGCGGAGUUGCAAGUUGGUAGUGAAAUCCCCGGGCUCAACCCGGGAAUUGCUUUCAAAACUACGGAGCUUGAAUCUCGGAGAGGAUAGCGGAAUUCCCAGUGUAGAGGUGAAAUUCGUAGAUAUUAGGAGGAACACCAGUGGCGUAAGCGGCUAUCUGGACGAGUAUUGACGCUGAGGCACGAAAGCGUGGGGAUCAAACAGG
This 253-nucleotide ribosomal RNA is filed under the name uncultured bacterium. RNAcentral describes it as "partial 16S ribosomal RNA". It matches the Rfam family "Bacterial small subunit ribosomal RNA", at positions 524 to 776 of the family's 1533-position model. The record is from RNAcentral.